Molecule: long non-coding RNA, 213 nt
Filed under: Lathyrus oleraceus (garden pea)
Lineage: Eukaryota; Viridiplantae; Streptophyta; Magnoliopsida; Fabales; Fabaceae
Description: Pisum sativum (pea) long non-coding RNA (PSAT_LNC013725)
Source: RNAcentral
AGAAGGAGAGCUGGGGAUCAACCACCAAAUGCUGAACCUUCCAAGAAGAAACCACCACUGCUGAGGAGGAAAUAAUCACUGCUCUGCUGAAGGGAAAAGAGGUGAAAACCUCAACAAGCACUCUGAUGGGGAGAAGUAGCAUAGAUGAAGUACACCAUACCAUCAACUCCGCUGGCGACCUUACUGAGGAAACAGACGAAGUACCGGGAUAUG